GAUAUAGGAAAUCAUCGAGAGAAAAAGAGAAAAAAAGUUAUAUAAAUAAACUCGAAGAUUCAAAAGAAGCACGAGCCAAAAAAGGGCACUCGGUUGAAAAAUAGAAAAAAAAGAGAGAAACCGAGCGAAAAACAAAAGAAACCAACACAGUAGGUGACAUUGACUCUGAACAAAAAACCACUUAUUUCCCAUUUUUGUGUGAAUAUC
RNAcentral lists this long non-coding RNA (207 nucleotides) under Lathyrus oleraceus (garden pea). RNAcentral's name for it is "Pisum sativum (pea) long non-coding RNA (PSAT_LNC004790)". Lineage: Eukaryota; Viridiplantae; Streptophyta; Magnoliopsida; Fabales; Fabaceae. The record is from RNAcentral.